GUGCUUGCCUUGGCAGCACAUAUACUAAAAUGGGAACAAUAUAGAGAAAGUUGUCAUGGCCGUGCACAAGGAUGACAUGCAAAUUUAUGAAACGUUCCCUGUUUUU
Molecule: small nuclear RNA, 106 nt
Filed under: Cercocebus atys (sooty mangabey)
Lineage: Eukaryota; Metazoa; Chordata; Mammalia; Primates; Cercopithecidae
Source: RNAcentral